RNAcentral lists this ribosomal RNA (274 nucleotides) under uncultured bacterium. Its description in RNAcentral is "partial 16S ribosomal RNA". It matches the Rfam family "Bacterial small subunit ribosomal RNA", at positions 523 to 796 of the family's 1533-position model. The record is from RNAcentral.
AUACGGAGGGGGCUAGCGUUGUUCGGAAUUACUGGGCGUAAAGCGUACGUAGGCGGACUGAUCAGUUGGGGGUGAAAUCCCAGGGCUUAACCCUGGAACUGUCUUCAAUACUGUCAGUCUUGAGUUUGGGAGAGGUGAGUGGAAUUCCUAGUGUAGAGGUGAAAUUCAUAGAUAUUAGGAGGAACACCAGUGGCGAAGGCGGCUCACUGGCCCAUUACUGACGCUGAGGUACGAAAGCGUGGGGAGCAAACAGGAUUAGAAACCCUAGUAGUCC